RNAcentral lists this ribosomal RNA (277 nucleotides) under uncultured Staphylococcus sp. RNAcentral's name for it is "partial 16S ribosomal RNA". It matches the Rfam family "Bacterial small subunit ribosomal RNA", at positions 505 to 781 of the family's 1533-position model. Lineage: Bacteria; Bacillati; Bacillota; Bacilli; Caryophanales; Staphylococcaceae. The record is from RNAcentral.
GUGCCAGCAGCCGCGGUAAUACGUAGGUGGCAAGCGUUAUCCGGAAUUAUUGGGCGUAAGGCGCGCGUAGGCGGUUUUCUAAGUCUGAUGUGAAAGCCCACGGCUCAACCGUGGAGGGUCAUUGGAAACUGGAAAACUUGAGUGCAGAAGAGGAAAGUGGAGUUCCAUGUGUAGCGGUGAAAUGCGCAGAGAUAUGGAGGAACACCAGUGGCGAAGGCGACUUUCUGGUCUGUAACUGACGCUGAUGUGCGAAAGCGUGGGGAUCAAACAGGAUUAG